CGCACAUUGCGCCCUUUGGUAUUCCGAAGGGCAUGCCUGUUCGAGCGUCAUUAUCACCCCUCAAGCCCGGCUUGAUGUUGGACGUCCGGUCGUGUUGACUCACGACCCGUCCCAAAGACAAUGACGGCGUCCAGAGGACCCUCGGUACAUUGAGCUUCAACCAGCACGUACUCGAGUUAAGGGACUCUGGACCCGGUCACACCUCAUUAUUUUAUCAGGUUGACCUCGGAUCAGGUAGGAAUACCCGCUGAACUUAA
RNAcentral lists this unclassified non-coding RNA (257 nucleotides) under fungal sp. RNAcentral's name for it is "partial contains 5.8S ribosomal RNA, internal transcribed spacer 2, and large subunit ribosomal RNA". The record is from RNAcentral. Lineage: Eukaryota; Fungi.